AACGAACGCUGGCGGCAUGCCUAACACAUGCAAGUCGAACGAGACCUUCGGGUCUAGUGGCGCACGGGUGCGUAACGCGUGGGAACCUGCCCUUAGGUUCGGAAUAACUCCCCGAAAGGGGUGCUAAUACCGGAUAAUGUCUUCGGACCAAGGAUUUAUCGCCUUUGGAUGGGCCCGCGUUGGAUUAGCUAGUUGGUAGGGUAAAAGCCUACCAAGGCGACGAUCCAUAGCUGGUCUGAGAGGAUGAUCAGCCACACUGGGACUGAGACACGGCCCAGACUCCUACGGGAGGCAGCAGUGGGGAAUAGUGGACAAUGGGCGAAAGCCUGAUCCAGCAAUGCCGCGUGAGUGAUGAAGGCCUUAGGGUUGUAAAGCUCUUUUACCCGGGAUGAUAAUGACAGUACCGGGAGAAUAAGCUCCGGCUAACUCCGUG
Molecule: ribosomal RNA, 433 nt
Filed under: uncultured bacterium
Lineage: Bacteria
Description: partial 16S ribosomal RNA
Rfam family: Bacterial small subunit ribosomal RNA
Source: RNAcentral